RNAcentral lists this ribosomal RNA (473 nucleotides) under uncultured organism. RNAcentral describes it as "partial 16S ribosomal RNA". It matches the Rfam family "Bacterial small subunit ribosomal RNA", at positions 333 to 797 of the family's 1533-position model. The record is from RNAcentral.
ACACUCCUACGGGAGGCAGCAGUGGGGAAUUUUGGACAAUGGGCGAAAGCCUGAUCCAGCAAUGCCGCGUGUGUGAAGAAGGCCUUCGGGUUGUAAAGCACUUUUGUCCGGAAAGAAAUCCUUGGCUCUAAUACAGUCGGGGGAUGACGGUACCGGAAGAAUAAGCACCGGCUAACUACGUGCCAGCAGCCGCGGUAAUACGUAGGGUGCGAGCGUUAAUCGGAAUUACUGGGCGUAAAGCGUGCGCAGGCGGUUUGCUAAGACCGAUGUGAAAUCCCCGGGCUCAACCUGGGAACUGCAUUGGUGACUGGCAGGCUAGAGUAUGGCAGAGGGGGGUGGAAUUCCACGUGUAGCAGUGAAAUGCGUAGAGAUGUGGAGGAAUACCGAUGGCGAAGGCAGCCCCCUGGGCCAAUACUGACGCUCAUGCACGAAAGCGUGGGGAGCAAACAGGAUUAGAAACCCCGGUAGUCCCA